CCCUUAGAUGUUCUGGGCAGCACGCGCGCUACAAUGGUCUUCGCAAACGGAUGCAUUCUCGAAGGAGAAUGCCAAUCUUGGAAUCUAUGCCUUGGUCGGGACAGUUGCUUGCAAUUUUUCGACUCGAACCAGGAAUUCCUUAUAAUCGUGAUUCAUCACAUCACGAUGAAUACGUCCCUGCCCUUUGUACACACCGCCCGUCGCUCCUACCGAUCGAAGAGUUAGGUGAAUUGUUUUGAUCGAUAAGAUUUGACUAUGGUCAACUCUCGUUGUGAAAUUCUGUGAAUCUGACUGUUUAGAGGAAGGAAAAGUCGUAACA
Molecule: ribosomal RNA, 319 nt
Filed under: uncultured eukaryote
Lineage: Eukaryota
Description: partial 18S ribosomal RNA
Rfam family: Eukaryotic small subunit ribosomal RNA
Source: RNAcentral